Long non-coding RNA from Drosophila novamexicana, 894 nucleotides. RefSeq lists it as uncharacterized. The transcript is spliced from 4 exons. The record is from RefSeq and is a predicted model, not a curated record. Lineage: Eukaryota; Metazoa; Arthropoda; Insecta; Diptera; Drosophilidae.
GCAUCGCGCGAGUUUAUUUAAUCCGUUGCUUUGUCUGUUUAGGUUUGUGAGUUUUGCCGCUAAAGUAUACCAAAAUACUAGUGAAUCCUCCAACAGUCAGUCGAGUGUUUCAGCAGUUGUUUUUGUUCCCCUUUAUUGUUGUCAACCUUGCUAAAGCUCAUUUACCAUUUGCCUAGCUAUGCAAUUAAGAAAUCUUUCUUUAGAAAUUGUAUGUGUAUUCCAUGUGGCUACGAGUCCAAAUAUUAAUACUAUUUGAGAUACGGAAAGUAUUUACCGGGGAAUAUUCGCAAAUUGUAGUUUCUAGACAAGCUUUACUCCAUUGCUGGCAUUUAACUAAAACGGAAUUAUGUUGCGCAGAAGCAAAGUGAACGAAAAUCAGCGCACAGCAAAUUGAGAAAGCAAACGUUUUAUCAGCUAUGUGGAUAUGGAAUGGAUGUCUGGAGGGCAGGAGCGCAUAUCCCUUUGCCGUAGACUGAAUAAUUGGUGCAAUGAGCCGUUAUGCAACCUCAGGUAGCUCGCUGUGAUAAGAGGCGAUUUUGGGAACAGUUCGAAUGUGCCUGAUGCUUUUGGAGCAGCUUAAUCUGCACGUCUUCCAAAGAUCCAAUGAUAUUGUGCUGCCUGAAGCAAACUCUGGACUACGGACUGGGUCUACGUGGGUUUCAUGUGCGGACGACUCUGCUGCUGCCACGCUCUCUGCUGGAAUUCACACUAAAUUGACAAAUUAAGGACUACAAUGAAUUCCAAGGACCUCCACAAGUGACAAAGCAAAUUUUUCCAGGAUCGGACUUAAAUUAAGCCAGAUAUAGCUUAUUUAAGUUGAAAUUAGCUACAAUUCUAAUUUAUGCUCGCUUUGUACUCUUUCAACAGAAAUAAUUAAGCAUAAACAAUGACAAA